GGGAGUGGCGGACGGGUGAGUAACACGUGGGUACCUACCCCAAGGUGAGGAAUACCGGCGAGAAAUCGCCGACAAGACCGCAUAGGUUUGGGCAACCAAACAAAGCUCGGGCAACCGGGUGCCAUGGGAAGGGCCUGCGGCCGAUUAGCUAGUUGGUAAGGUAAAAGCCUACCAAGGCGACGAUCGGUAGCUGGUCUGAGAGGACGAUCAGCCACACUGGGAUUGAGAACGGCCCAGACUCCUACGGGGGGCAGCAGUGAGGAAUUUUCGUCAAUGGGGGAAACCCUGAACGAGCAACGCCGCGUGCAGGAUGAAGGUUUUCGGAUCGUAAACUGCUUUUCUCUGGGAAGAGAACGGACGGUACCAGAGGAAGAAGCCCCGGCUAACUACGUGCCAGCAGCCGCGGUAAUACGUAGGGGGCAAGCGUUGUCCGGAUUUAUUGGGCGUAAAGCGCACGCAGGCGGUCUACCAAGUUCGGAGUGACAGUUUCCGGCUUAACCGGGAAAGGUCUUCGAAAACUGGUGGACUUGAGGACUUGAGAGGGAGACGGAAUUCCGGGUGGAGCGGUGAAAUGCGUAGAGAUCCGGAGGAACACCGAAAGCGAAGGCAGUCUCCUGGCAAGUUCCUGACGCUCAGGUGCGAAAGCUAGGGGAGCGAACAGGAUUAGAUACCCUGGUAGUCCUAGCCGUAAACGAUGACCACUAGGCGUGGGAGGGAUCGACCCCUUCCGUGCCGCAGCUUACGCAGUAAGUGGUCCGCCUGGGGAGUACGGUCGCA
Molecule: ribosomal RNA, 777 nt
Filed under: uncultured bacterium
Lineage: Bacteria
Description: bacterial SSU rRNA
Rfam family: Bacterial small subunit ribosomal RNA
Source: RNAcentral